Molecule: ribosomal RNA, 1528 nt
Filed under: Klebsiella pneumoniae
Lineage: Bacteria; Pseudomonadati; Pseudomonadota; Gammaproteobacteria; Enterobacterales; Enterobacteriaceae
Description: bacterial SSU rRNA
Rfam family: Bacterial small subunit ribosomal RNA
Source: RNAcentral
AGAGUUUGAUCAUGGCUCAGAUUGAACGCUGGCGGCAGGCCUAACACAUGCAAGUCGAGCGGUAGCACAGAGAGCUUGCUCUCGGGUGACGAGCGGCGGACGGGUGAGUAAUGUCUGGGAAACUGCCUGAUGGAGGGGGAUAACUACUGGAAACGGUAGCUAAUACCGCAUAAUGUCGCAAGACCAAAGUGGGGGACCUUCGGGCCUCAUGCCAUCAGAUGUGCCCAGAUGGGAUUAGCUAGUAGGUGGGGUAACGGCUCACCUAGGCGACGAUCCCUAGCUGGUCUGAGAGGAUGACCAGCCACACUGGAACUGAGACACGGUCCAGACUCCUACGGGAGGCAGCAGUGGGGAAUAUUGCACAAUGGGCGCAAGCCUGAUGCAGCCAUGCCGCGUGUGUGAAGAAGGCCUUCGGGUUGUAAAGCACUUUCAGCGGGGAGGAAGGCGAUAAGGUUAAUAACCUUGUCGAUUGACGUUACCCGCAGAAGAAGCACCGGCUAACUCCGUGCCAGCAGCCGCGGUAAUACGGAGGGUGCAAGCGUUAAUCGGAAUUACUGGGCGUAAAGCGCACGCAGGCGGUCUGUCAAGUCGGAUGUGAAAUCCCCGGGCUUAACCUGGGAACUGCAUUCGAAACUGGCAGGCUAGAGUCUUGUAGAGGGGGGUAGAAUUCCAGGUGUAGCGGUGAAAUGCGUAGAGAUCUGGAGGAAUACCGGUGGCGAAGGCGGCCCCCUGGACAAAGACUGACGCUCAGGUGCGAAAGCGUGGGGAGCAAACAGGAUUAGAUACCCUGGUAGUCCACGCCGUAAACGAUGUCGAUUUGGAGGUUGUGCCCUUGAGGCGUGGCUUCCGGAGCUAACGCGUUAAAUCGACCGCCUGGGGAGUACGGCCGCAAGGUUAAAACUCAAAUGAAUUGACGGGGGCCCGCACAAGCGGUGGAGCAUGUGGUUUAAUUCGAUGCAACGCGAAGAACCUUACCUGGUCUUGACAUCCACAGAACUUAGCAGAGAUGCUUUGGUGCCUUCGGGAACUGUGAGACAGGUGCUGCAUGGCUGUCGUCAGCUCGUGUUGUGAAAUGUUGGGUUAAGUCCCGCAACGAGCGCAACCCUUAUCCUUUGUUGCCAGCGGUUCGGCCGGGAACUCAAAGGAGACUGCCAGUGAUAAACUGGAGGAAGGUGGGGAUGACGUCAAGUCAUCAUGGCCCUUACGACCAGGGCUACACACGUGCUACAAUGGCAUAUACAAAGAGAAGCGACCUCGCGAGAGCAAGCGGACCUCAUAAAGUAUGUCGUAGUCCGGAUUGGAGUCUGCAACUCGACUCCAUGAAGUCGGAAUCGCUAGUAAUCGUAGAUCAGAAUGCUACGGUGAAUACGUUCCCGGGCCUUGUACACACCGCCCGUCACACCAUGGGAGUGGGUUGCAAAAGAAGUAGGUAGCUUAACCUUCGGGAGGGCGCUUACCACUUUGUGAUUCAUGACUGGGGUGAAGUCGUAACAAGGUAACCGUAGGGGAACCUGCGGUUGGAUCACCU